GAACGCUAGCUACAGGCUUAACACAUGCAAGUCGAGGGGCAGCGGGAUUGAAGCUUGCUUCAAUUGCCGGCGACCGGCGCACGGGUGAGUAGCGCGUAUCCAACCUUCCGUACACUCAGGGAUAGCCUUUCGAAAGAAAGAUUAAUACCUGAUGGUAUGAUGAGAUUGCAUGAUAGCAUCAUUAAAGAUUUAUCGGUGUACGAUGGGGAUGCGUUCCAUUAGGUAGUAGGCGGGGUAACGGCCCACCUAGCCAACGAUGGAUAGGGGUUCUGAGAGGAAGGUCCCCCACAUUGGAACUGAGACACGGUCCAAACUCCUACGGGAGGCAGCAGUGAGGAAUAUUGGUCAAUGGACGAGAGUCUGAACCAGCCAAGUAGCGUGAAGGAUGAAGGUCCUACGGAUUGUAAACUUCUUUUAUAAGGGAAUAAACCCUCCCACGUGUGGGAGCUUGUAUGUACCUUAUGAAUAAGCAUCGGCUAACUCCGUG
This 487-nucleotide ribosomal RNA is filed under the name uncultured bacterium. RNAcentral describes it as "bacterial SSU rRNA". It matches the Rfam family "Bacterial small subunit ribosomal RNA", at positions 31 to 507 of the family's 1533-position model. The record is from RNAcentral.